This 2804-nucleotide ribosomal RNA is filed under the name Escherichia coli. RNAcentral describes it as "partial 23S ribosomal RNA". It matches the Rfam family "Bacterial large subunit ribosomal RNA". Lineage: Bacteria; Pseudomonadati; Pseudomonadota; Gammaproteobacteria; Enterobacterales; Enterobacteriaceae. The record is from RNAcentral.
GGGUUGUGAGGUUAAGCGACUAAGCGUACACGGUGGAUGCCCUGGCAGUCAGAGGCGAUGAAGGACGUGCUAAUCUGCGAUAAGCGUCGGUAAGGUGAUAUGAACCGUUAUAACCGGCGAUUUCCGAAUGGGGAAACCCAGUGUGUUUCGACACACUAUCAUUAACUGAAUCCAUAGGUUAAUGAGGCGAACCGGGGGAACUGAAACAUCUAAGUACCCCGAGGAAAAGAAAUCAACCGAGAUUCCCCCAGUAGCGGCGAGCGAACGGGGAGCAGCCCAGAGCCUGAAUCAGUAUGUGUGUUAGUGGAAGCGUCUGGAAAGGCGCGCGAUACAGGGUGACAGCCCCGUACACAAAAAUGCACAUAUUGUGAGCUCGAUGAGUAGGGCGGGACACGUGGUAUCCUGUCUGAAUAUGGGGGGACCAUCCUCCAAGGCUAAAUACUCCUGACUGACCGAUAGUGAACCAGUACCGUGAGGGAAAGGCGAAAAGAACCCCGGCGAGGGGAGUGAAAAAGAACCUGAAACCGUGUACGUACAAGCAGUGGGAGCACGCUUAGGCGUGUGACUGCGUACCUUUUGUAUAAUGGGUCAGCGACUUAUAUUCUGUAGCAAGGUUAACCGAAUAGGGGAGCCGAAGGGAAACCGAGUCUUAACUGGGCGUUAAGUUGCAGGGUAUAGACCCGAAACCCGGUGAUCUAGCCAUGGGCAGGUUGAAGGUUGGGUAACACUAACUGGAGGACCGAACCGACUAAUGUUGAAAAAUUAGCGGAUGACUUGUGGCUGGGGGUGAAAGGCCAAUCAAACCGGGAGAUAGCUGGUUCUCCCCGAAAGCUAUUUAGGUAGCGCCUCGUGAAUUCAUCUCCGGGGGUAGAGCACUGUUUCGGCAAGGGGGUCAUCCCGACUUACCAACCCGAUGCAAACUGCGAAUACCGGAGAAUGUUAUCACGGGAGACACACGGCGGGUGCUAACGUCCGUCGUGAAGAGGGAAACAACCCAGACCGCCAGCUAAGGUCCCAAAGUCAUGGUUAAGUGGGAAACGAUGUGGGAAGGCCCAGACAGCCAGGAUGUUGGCUUAGAAGCAGCCAUCAUUUAAAGAAAGCGUAAUAGCUCACUGGUCGAGUCGGCCUGCGCGGAAGAUGUAACGGGGCUAAACCAUGCACCGAAGCUGCGGCAGCGACGCUUAUGCGUUGUUGGGUAGGGGAGCGUUCUGUAAGCCUGUGAAGGUGUGCUGUGAGGCAUGCUGGAGGUAUCAGAAGUGCGAAUGCUGACAUAAGUAACGAUAAAGCGGGUGAAAAGCCCGCUCGCCGGAAGACCAAGGGUUCCUGUCCAACGUUAAUCGGGGCAGGGUGAGUCGACCCCUAAGGCGAGGCCGAAAGGCGUAGUCGAUGGGAAACAGGUUAAUAUUCCUGUACUUGGUGUUACUGCGAAGGGGGGACGGAGAAGGCUAUGUUGGCCGGGCGACGGUUGUCCCGGUUUAAGCGUGUAGGCUGGUUUUCCAGGCAAAUCCGGAAAAUCAAGGCUGAGGCGUGAUGACGAGGCACUACGGUGCUGAAGCAACAAAUGCCCUGCUUCCAGGAAAAGCCUCUAAGCAUCAGGUAACAUCAAAUCGUACCCCAAACCGACACAGGUGGUCAGGUAGAGAAUACCAAGGCGCUUGAGAGAACUCGGGUGAAGGAACUAGGCAAAAUGGUGCCGUAACUUCGGGAGAAGGCACGCUGAUAUGUAGGUGAAGUCCCUCGCGGAUGGAGCUGAAAUCAGUCGAAGAUACCAGCUGGCUGCAACUGUUUAUUAAAAACACAGCACUGUGCAAACACGAAAGUGGACGUAUACGGUGUGACGCCUGCCCGGUGCCGGAAGGUUAAUUGAUGGGGUUAGCCGCAAGGCGAAGCUCUUGAUCGAAGCCCCGGUAAACGGCGGCCGUAACUAUAACGGUCCUAAGGUAGCGAAAUUCCUUGUCGGGUAAGUUCCGACCUGCACGAAUGGCGUAAUGAUGGCCAGGCUGUCUCCACCCGAGACUCAGUGAAAUUGAACUCGCUGUGAAGAUGCAGUGUACCCGCGGCAAGACGGAAAGACCCCGUGAACCUUUACUAUAGCUUGACACUGAACAUUGAGCCUUGAUGUGUAGGAUAGGUGGGAGGCUUAGAAGUGUGGACGCCAGUCUGCAUGGAGCCGACCUUGAAAUACCACCCUUUAAUGUUUGAUGUUCUAACGUUGACCCGUAAUCCGGGUUGCGGACAGUGUCUGGUGGGUAGUUUGACUGGGGCGGUCUCCUCCUAAAGAGUAACGGAGGAGCACGAAGGUUGGCUAAUCCUGGUCGGACAUCAGGAGGUUAGUGCAAUGGCAUAAGCCAGCUUGACUGCGAGCGUGACGGCGCGAGCAGGUGCGAAAGCAGGUCAUAGUGAUCCGGUGGUUCUGAAUGGAAGGGCCAUCGCUCAACGGAUAAAAGGUACUCCGGGGAUAACAGGCUGAUACCGCCCAAGAGUUCAUAUCGACGGCGGUGUUUGGCACCUCGAUGUCGGCUCAUCACAUCCUGGGGCUGAAGUAGGUCCCAAGGGUAUGGCUGUUCGCCAUUUAAAGUGGUACGCGAGCUGGGUUUAGAACGUCGUGAGACAGUUCGGUCCCUAUCUGCCGUGGGCGCUGGAGAACUGAGGGGGGCUGCUCCUAGUACGAGAGGACCGGAGUGGACGCAUCACUGGUGUUCGGGUUGUCAUGCCAAUGGCACUGCCCGGUAGCUAAAUGCGGAAGAGAUAAGUGCUGAAAGCAUCUAAGCACGAAACUUGCCCCGAGAUGAGUUCUCCCUGAC